Molecule: unclassified non-coding RNA, 345 nt
Filed under: uncultured Ascomycota
Lineage: Eukaryota; Fungi; Ascomycota
Description: sequence contains ITS2
Rfam family: 5.8S ribosomal RNA (bases 1-154)
Source: RNAcentral
AACUUUUAGCAAUGGAUCUCUUGGCUCUGGCAUCGAUGAAGAACGCAGCGAAAUGCGAUACGUAAUAUGAAUCGCAGAAAUCAGUGAAUUAUCGAAUCUUUGAACGCACAUUGCGCCCUAUGGCAUUCCGUAGGGCAUGUCUGUUCGAGCGUCAUCAGCACUAUCAAGUACUUGGAUUUGGGCGCUGUAGAUCCUACCCGCCUUAAAAACAGUGGCGGCUGUCUGUAUUCCCCAGCGUAGUAAAACCCCGCUCCGGGCCUGCAGGCACCCACCUCGUCCACUAAGUUUGACCUCGGAUCAGAUAGGGAUACCCGCUGAACUUAAGCAUAUCAAUAAGCGGAGGCU